UGGAAGCAAAAAGUCGUAACAAGGUCUCCGUAGGUGAACCUGCGGAGGGAUCAUUACACAAAUAUGAAGGCGGGCUGGAACCUCUCGGGGUUACAGCCUUGCUGAAUUAUUCACCCUUGUCUUUUGCGUACUUCUUGUUUCCUUGGUGGGUUCGCCCACCACUAGGACAAACAUAAACCUUUUGUAAUUGCAAUCAGCGUCAGUAACAAAUUAAUAAUUACAACUUUCAACAACGGAUCUCUUGGUUCUGGCAUCGAUGAAGAACGCAGCGAAAUGCGAUAAGUAGUGUGAAUUGCAGAAUUCAGUGAAUCAUCGAAUCUUUGAACGCACAUUGCGCCCUUUGGUAUUCCAAAGGGCAUGCCUGUUCGAGCGUCAUUUGUACCCUCAAGCUUUGCUUGGUGUUGGGCGUCUUGUCUCUAGCUUUGCUGGAGACUCGCCUUAAAGUAAUUGGCAGCCGGCCUACUGGUUUCGGAGCGCAGCACAAGUCGCACUCUCUAUCAGCAAAGGUCUAGCAUCCAUUAAGCCUUUUUUUUCAACUUUGACCUCGGAUCAGGUAGGAAUCCCCCCA
RNAcentral lists this ribosomal RNA (568 nucleotides) under Alternaria sp. FTJZZJ02. Its description in RNAcentral is "eukaryotic LSU rRNA". The stretch from base 222 to 375 matches the Rfam family "5.8S ribosomal RNA". The record is from RNAcentral. Lineage: Eukaryota; Fungi; Ascomycota; Dothideomycetes; Pleosporales; Pleosporaceae.